This 1968-nucleotide ribosomal RNA is filed under the name Salmonella enterica subsp. enterica serovar Typhi str. CT18. RNAcentral's name for it is "partial 23S ribosomal RNA". It matches the Rfam family "Bacterial large subunit ribosomal RNA", at positions 991 to 2925 of the family's 2925-position model. Lineage: Bacteria; Pseudomonadati; Pseudomonadota; Gammaproteobacteria; Enterobacterales; Enterobacteriaceae. The record is from RNAcentral.
GCGGGUGCUAAUGUCCGUCGUGAAGAGGGAAACAACCCAGACCGCCAGCUAAGGUCCCAAAGUCAUGGUUAAGUGGGAAACGAUGUGGGAAGGCCCAGACAGCCAGGAUGUUGGCUUAGAAGCAGCCAUCAUUUAAAGAAAGCGUAAUAGCUCACUGGUCGAGUCGGCCUGCGCGGAAGAUGUAACGGGGCUAAACCAUGCACCGAAGCUGCGGCAGCGACACCGUGUGUUGUUGGGUAGGGGAGCGUUCUGUAAGCCUGUGAAGGUGUGCUGUGAGGCAUGCUGGAGGUAUCAGAAGUGCGAAUGCUGACAUAAGUAACGAUAAAGCGGGUGAAAAGCCCGCUCGCCGGAAGACCAAGGGUUCCUGUCCAACGUUAAUCGGGGCAGGGUGAGUCGACCCCUAAGGCGAGGCCGAAAGGCGUAGUCGAUGGGAAACGGGUUAAUAUUCCCGUACUUGGUGUUACUGCGAAGGGGGGACGGAGAAGGCUAUGUUGGCCGGGCGACGGUUGUCCCGGUUUAAGCGUGUAGGUAUGUGUUCCAGGUAAAUCCGGUUCACUUUAACACUGAGGCGUGACGACGAGGCACUACGGUGCUGAAGCAACAAAUGCCCUGCUUCCAGGAAAAGCCUCUAAGCAUCAGGUAACAUCAAAUCGUACCCCAAACCGACACAGGUGGUCAGGUAGAGAAUACCAAGGCGCUUGAGAGAACUCGGGUGAAGGAACUAGGCAAAAUGGUGCCGUAACUUCGGGAGAAGGCACGCUGACACGUAGGUGAAGUGAUUUACUCACGGAGCUGAAGUCAGCCGAAGAUACCAGCUGGCUGCAACUGUUUAUUAAAAACACAGCACUGUGCAAACACGAAAGUGGACGUAUACGGUGUGACGCCUGCCCGGUGCCGGAAGGUUAAUUGAUGGGGUCAGCGCAAGCGAAGCUCCUGAUCGAAGCCCCGGUAAACGGCGGCCGUAACUAUAACGGUCCUAAGGUAGCGAAAUUCCUUGUCGGGUAAGUUCCGACCUGCACGAAUGGCGUAAUGAUGGCCAGGCUGUCUCCACCCGAGACUCAGUGAAAUUGAACUCGCUGUGAAGAUGCAGUGUACCCGCGGCAAGACGGAAAGACCCCGUGAACCUUUACUAUAGCUUGACACUGAACAUUGAGCCUUGAUGUGUAGGAUAGGUGGGAGGCUUUGAAGUGUGGACGCCAGUCUGCAUGGAGCCGACCUUGAAAUACCACCCUUUAAUGUUUGAUGUUCUAACGUGGACCCGUGAUCCGGGUUGCGGACAGUGUCUGGUGGGUAGUUUGACUGGGGCGGUCUCCUCCUAAAGAGUAACGGAGGAGCACGAAGGUUGGCUAAUCCUGGUCGGACAUCAGGAGGUUAGUGCAAUGGCAUAAGCCAGCUUGACUGCGAGCGUGACGGCGCGAGCAGGUGCGAAAGCAGGUCAUAGUGAUCCGGUGGUUCUGAAUGGAAGGGCCAUCGCUCAACGGAUAAAAGGUACUCCGGGGAUAACAGGCUGAUACCGCCCAAGAGUUCAUAUCGACGGCGGUGUUUGGCACCUCGAUGUCGGCUCAUCACAUCCUGGGGCUGAAGUAGGUCCCAAGGGUAUGGCUGUUCGCCAUUUAAAGUGGUACGCGAGCUGGGUUUAGAACGUCGUGAGACAGUUCGGUCCCUAUCUGCCGUGGGCGCUGGAGAACUGAGGGGGGCUGCUCCUAGUACGAGAGGACCGGAGUGGACGCAUCACUGGUGUUCGGGUUGUCAUGCCAAUGGCACUGCCCGGUAGCUAAAUGCGGAAGAGAUAAGUGCUGAAAGCAUCUAAGCACGAAACUUGCCCCGAGAUGAGUUCUCCCUGAGACUUUAGGUCUCCUGAAGGAACGUUGAAGACGACGACGUUGAUAGGCCGGGUGUGUAAGCGCAGCGAUGCGUUGAGCUAACCGGUACUAAUGAACCGUGAGGCUUAACCUUACAACGCCGAAG